GGAGAGAUGGCAGAGUGGUCGAAUGCGGCGGUCUCGAAAACCGUUGUUCUUCGAUAGAGGAACCGGGGGUUCGAAUCCCCCUCUCUCCG
RNAcentral lists this transfer RNA (89 nucleotides) under Bacteroidales bacterium. Its description in RNAcentral is "tRNA-Ser". It matches the Rfam family "tRNA". Rfam says of the family: Transfer RNA (tRNA) molecules are approximately 80 nucleotides in length. Their secondary structure includes four short double-helical elements and three loops (D, anti-codon, and T loops). Further hydrogen bonds mediate the characteristic L-shaped molecular structure. tRNAs have two regions of fundamental functional importance: the anti-codon, which is responsible for specific mRNA codon recognition, and the 3' end, to which the tRNAs corresponding amino acid is attached (by aminoacyl-tRNA synthetases). tRNAs cope with the degeneracy of the genetic code in two manners: having more than one tRNA (with a specific anti-codon) for a particular amino acid; and 'wobble' base-pairing, i.e. permitting non-standard base-pairing at the 3rd anti-codon position. The record is from RNAcentral. Lineage: Bacteria; Pseudomonadati; Bacteroidota; Bacteroidia; Bacteroidales.